UACGGAGGAUCCGAGCGUUAUCCGGAUUUAUUGGGUUUAAAGGGUGCGCAGGCGGGGGAUUAAGUCGGCGGUGAAAUUUUGCAGCUCAACUGUAAAAGUGCCUUCGAAACUGGUUUCCUUGAGUGUAGAUGAAGUAGGCGGAAUUUGUGGUGUAGCGGUGAAAUGCAUAGAUAUCACGAGGAACUCCGAUUGCGCAGGCAGCUUACUAAACUACUACUGACGCUCAGGCACGAAGGCGUGGGGAUCAAACAGGAUUAGAUACCCCUGUA
This 269-nucleotide ribosomal RNA is filed under the name uncultured prokaryote. Its description in RNAcentral is "partial 16S ribosomal RNA". It matches the Rfam family "Bacterial small subunit ribosomal RNA", at positions 524 to 792 of the family's 1533-position model. The record is from RNAcentral.